RNAcentral lists this ribosomal RNA (626 nucleotides) under uncultured bacterium. Its description in RNAcentral is "bacterial SSU rRNA". It matches the Rfam family "Bacterial small subunit ribosomal RNA", at positions 249 to 885 of the family's 1533-position model. The record is from RNAcentral.
UUGGUGGGGUGAUGGCCUACCAAGGCGACGACGGGUAGCCGGCCUGAGAGGGCGACCGGCCACACUGGGACUGAGACACGGCCCAGACUCCUACGGGAGGCAGCAGUGGGGAAUAUUGCACAAUGGGCGGAAGCCUGAUGCAGCGACGCCGCGUGAGGGAUGACGGCCUUCGGGUUGUAAACCUCUUUCAGCAGGGACGAAGCGCAAGUGACGGUACCUGCAGAAGAAGCGCCGGCCAACUACGUGCCAGCAGCCGCGGUAAGACGUAGGGCGCGAGCGUUGUCCGGAUUUAUUGGGCGUAAAGAGCUCGUAGGCGGCUUGUCGCGUCGACUGUGAAAUCCCGCGGCUCAACUGCGGGUCUGCAGUCGAUACGGGCAGGCUAGAGUUCGGUAGGGGAGACUGGAAUUCCUGGUGUAGCGGUGAAAUGCGCAGAUAUCAGGAGGAACACCGAUGGCGAAGGCAGGUCUCUGGGCCGAUACUGACGCUGAGGAGCGAAAGCGUGGGGAGCGAACAGGAUUAGAUACCCUGGUAGUCCACGCUGUAAACGUUGGGCGCUAGGUGUGGGGGACCUCUCCGGUUCUCUGUGCCGCAGCUAACGCAUUAAGCGCCCCGCCUGGGGAGUACGG